This is a long non-coding RNA of Wyeomyia smithii (pitcher-plant mosquito), 1253 nucleotides long. RefSeq lists it as uncharacterized. The record is from RefSeq and is a predicted model, not a curated record. NCBI's taxonomy places the organism in Eukaryota, Metazoa, Arthropoda, Insecta, Diptera, Culicidae. The transcript is spliced from 3 exons.
ACAGCAAUCACUGCGUCGUGUGUCAAACUGAAUUUUAUCAAAUAUCAGUCAAAGAAUAUGAAUUAUUGUAAAGCGCAGCUCGACGGUAUUCUCAACGUGAACAAAGCGAUUACAGCAACCACUGCGUUGGGUGUCAAACUGAAAAUUUCAUUUUAUCAUCAUCAUCAGUUUGGAUGCGGGUUUUUUAGGAUUGAAUCCAGUUGCCGUCCCGAUCAGGUGCACAAUUCGGAGGAAACCUGCGGUUUCCUAGGGGAUUCGUACAUCAUCGAAAAGGACAACGAAGUUGACGGUUACCGCAAGUACUUCGUUUCAGGUUAAAAGCAUGAUCAAUUCAAUUACGGAAAGACUACCCAGUUUUGGCAUACCGGAUGGAGAUGGCAGGAAUUUGUUGGCCUCAUCAUCGCUGGAAGCAGAAAAAAUUUCUACAUCACCAUGACGACGGUUGUUCACCGUCUUGGGCAACCGAUGUUUUUCCACAGAGCUUCAGCAACCUAUCCACCUUUCAGCCAAUUGUUCCACCCGUGUCACCGGCGGACCCCGUUCCGAUAUCACCCUCUUCGCCAGUUUCCAGCCCAAAGCCUCAAAUAGCAUCUUUGUCGAAGAUGACUAAAUUUCUAAACUAUAAUUAACGAAAAUAAAUCUAAGUUUAAAAGUUGGGUGAUAAGCAAAUUGUUUCGUAAAGGAGAAUCGUUUGCUGGUGGUGGUCAUGUGUCCUCACCUAUGUGCCCCACCGUAGAGCCGGAAAGCGAAGACUGUGAUAAUAUUAGGAAUAAUAAAAAAAGUUCUAUGUGUAUCAGAGCAGAGCGACGGUACUAAAGAUGACUAUCAGCAGUGACCAAUCGUAAUUGUAACUCCGAAACCGAGCAGUCACACAUUAGAUGUUCAGGACUGUUCUAUUCGUGGAAGUGUAUACUUGCGUUAACGCGAAGGUUCGAAAUCGCUCAGUGUUGGAGGAGCAAAAAGUGGUGAUCGGUGAACCAGUCAUAAUUUCGUGUUUAAUGAUAUGAUCGACAUACGGUUGUAUAUUCCUAAAAUCGAAGUGAUAUUUCGCCGUUCGCGAUACGGAAGCUAUCGGUCGCAGUGCGAGGAAAUUUUUUUGGUGACGGAUGCGUUUGCGGGAAGACCUUGAAGUUUGACAGUAGCAGUUAACAGCAGAAUCAGUUGUCUUCGUCAACCUGGUAGGUUACUGGGCGAUGGAGCUGUGUCCUUCGACGUUGAUAGUAAGUGCAUUUAUUUUAUUUGCCUUGACUUAU